UUACGGCCAUGUCACGUUGAAACACCGGUUCUUGUACGCUCACUGAAGUUAAGCAUUGUCGAGACUGGUCACUACUUAGAUGGGUGACCGGUUGGCAAUCCUAGGUGCUGUCAG
Molecule: non-coding RNA, 114 nt
Organism: Acanthosepion pharaonis
Lineage: Eukaryota; Metazoa; Mollusca; Cephalopoda; Sepiida; Sepiidae
Source: the annotation of a GenBank genome assembly